This 213-nucleotide unclassified non-coding RNA is filed under the name plant metagenome. RNAcentral describes it as "partial contains small subunit ribosomal RNA, internal transcribed spacer 1, and 5.8S ribosomal RNA". The record is from RNAcentral.
UUUCCGUAGGUGAACCUGCGGAAGGAUCAUUCAUAAUACGUGUUUUAUGGCACUUUUUUAAAUCCAUAUCCACCUUGUGUGCAAUGUCAGGGUUGAUUUUUCUCUCGAGAGGAUCAACCCCAAACAUCAACUAUAUCUCAACUCUUUGUCUGAAAAAUAUUAUGAAUAAAACAAUUCAAAGUACAACUUUCAACAACGGAUCUCUUGGCUCUC